Molecule: long non-coding RNA, 134 nt
Organism: Drosophila grimshawi
Lineage: Eukaryota; Metazoa; Arthropoda; Insecta; Diptera; Drosophilidae
Exons: 2
Source: RefSeq, a predicted model, not a curated record
UGAAAGCGCAUCUUAAGUGACCUAAACAAACCUGAUAAACGUGCUGCCAGACAGAGAAAAACUAUGGAUAUAAAUGAUGGACAAAAUGGCUUCCUUGAUUACAAUCCUUAAUAAAUCAAUAAUAAAAUAUUCAA